UACGUAGGGGGCUAGCGUUGUCCGGAAUCAUUGGGCGUAAAGCGCACGUAGGCGGCUUUGUAAGUUAGAGGUGAAAGCCCGGGGCUCAACCCCGGAAUUGCCUUUAAGACUGCACCGCUAGAAUUGUGGAGAGGUAAGUGGAAUUCCGAGUGUAGAGGUGAAAUUCGUAGAUAUUCGGAAGAACACCAGUGGCGAAGGCGACUUACUGGACACAUAUUGACGCUGAGGUGCGAAAGCGUGGGGAGCAAACAGG
This 253-nucleotide ribosomal RNA is filed under the name uncultured bacterium. Its description in RNAcentral is "partial 16S ribosomal RNA". It matches the Rfam family "Bacterial small subunit ribosomal RNA", at positions 524 to 776 of the family's 1533-position model. The record is from RNAcentral.